AACGAACGCUGGCGGCAUGCCUAAUACAUGCAAGUCGAACGAGACCUUCGGGUCUAGUGGCGCACGGGUGCGUAACGCGUGGGAAUCUGCCCUUGGGUUCGGAAUAACGUCGGGAAACUGACGCUAAUACCGGAUGAUGACGUAAGUCCAAAGAUUUUAUCGCCCAGGGAUGAGCCCGCGUAGGAUUAGCUAGUUGGUGGGGUAAAGGCCUACCAAGGCGACGAUCCUUAGCUGGUCUGAGAGGAUGAUCAGCCACACUGGGACUGAGACACGGCCCAGACUCCUACGGGAGGCAGCAGUAGGGAAUAUUGGACAAUGGGCGAAAGCCUGAUCCAGCAAUGCCGCGUGAGUGAUGAAGCCUUAGGGUUGUAAAGCUCUUUUACCCGAGAUGAUAAUGACAGUAUCGGGAGAAUAAGCUCCGGCUAACUCCGUGCCAGCAGCCGCGGUAAAUACGGAGGGAGCUAGCGUUGUUCGGAAUUACUGGGCGUAAAGCGCACGUAGGCGGCGAUU
Molecule: ribosomal RNA, 510 nt
Filed under: Sphingobium xenophagum
Lineage: Bacteria; Pseudomonadati; Pseudomonadota; Alphaproteobacteria; Sphingomonadales; Sphingobiaceae
Description: bacterial SSU rRNA
Rfam family: Bacterial small subunit ribosomal RNA
Source: RNAcentral